UAGGGAAUCUUCCACAAUGGACGCAAGUCUGAUGGAGCAACGCCGCGUGAGUGAAGAAGGUUUUCGGACCGUAAAGCUCUGUUGUUGGUGAAGAAGGAUAGAGGUAGUAACUGGCCUUUAUUUGACGGUAAUCAACCAGAAAGUCACGGCUAACUACGUGCCAGCAGCCGCGGUAAUCGUAGGUGGCAAGCGUUGUCCGGAUUUAUUGGG
This 210-nucleotide ribosomal RNA is filed under the name uncultured bacterium. RNAcentral's name for it is "partial 16S ribosomal RNA". It matches the Rfam family "Bacterial small subunit ribosomal RNA", at positions 355 to 558 of the family's 1533-position model. The record is from RNAcentral.